Molecule: ribosomal RNA, 468 nt
Filed under: uncultured bacterium
Lineage: Bacteria
Description: partial 16S ribosomal RNA
Rfam family: Bacterial small subunit ribosomal RNA
Source: RNAcentral
GACGAACGCUGGCGGCGUGCUUAACACAUGCAAGUCGAACGGAAAGGCCCUGCUUUUGUGGGGUGCUCGAGUGGCGAACGGGUGAGUUACACGUGAGUAACCUGCCCUUGACUUUGGGAUAACUUCAGGAAAUUGGGGCUAAUACCGGAUAGGAGCUCCUGCUGCAUGGUGGUGGUUGGAAAGUUUCGGCGGUUGGGGAUGGACUCGCGGCUUAUCAGCUUGUUGGUGGGGUAGUGGCUUACCAAGGCUUUGACGGGUAGCCGGCCUGAGAGGGUGACCGGCCACAUUGGGACUGAGAUACGGCCCAGACUCCUACGGGAGGCAGCAGUGGGGAAUAUUGCACAAUGGGCGGAAGCCUGAUGCAGCAACGCCGCGUGCGGGAUGACGGCCUUCGGGUUGUAAACCGCUUUCGCCUGUGACGAAGCGUGAGUGACGGUAAUGGGUAAAGAAGCACCGGCUAACUACGUG